UUUUUUUGUUGUUUUGUU
Molecule: small RNA, 18 nt
Filed under: Arabidopsis thaliana (thale cress)
Lineage: Eukaryota; Viridiplantae; Streptophyta; Magnoliopsida; Brassicales; Brassicaceae
Description: ATSL171780
Source: RNAcentral